This 180-nucleotide ribosomal RNA is filed under the name uncultured Glomeromycotina. RNAcentral's name for it is "partial small subunit ribosomal RNA". The stretch from base 37 to 180 matches the Rfam family "Eukaryotic small subunit ribosomal RNA", at positions 684 to 830 of the family's 1831-position model. Lineage: Eukaryota; Fungi; Glomeromycota. The record is from RNAcentral.
GGAUCAAGGAAUCGGUCAUGCCUCGGUAUGUACUGGUUUUAUUGGUUCUCACCUUCUAAAGAACCAUAAUGUCAUUUAUUUGGUGUUAUGGGGAAUUAGGACUGUUACCUUGAAAAAAUUAGAGUGUUUAAAGCAAGCUUACGCUUGAAUACAUUAGCAUGGAAUAAUAGAAUAGGACUU